RNAcentral lists this long non-coding RNA (2204 nucleotides) under Vitis vinifera (wine grape). RNAcentral describes it as "long non-coding RNA (VVIN_LNC000667)". The record is from RNAcentral. Lineage: Eukaryota; Viridiplantae; Streptophyta; Magnoliopsida; Vitales; Vitaceae.
UUUUUUUUUUUUUUUCUGUGCAGAAAACCACAUUAUUAUGGUUUUAAAAGUUUUAGAAAUAUCCUUAAAACCAUAAUAAAAAAUGGUGAUUUUACAAUUUUCUUUAGAACCACAGUUAAUAACUGUGGUUUCAAAAAUAUUUUUAAAUUACACCCCAUUACAAUGGUUAGUAUUAUGAUUUUAAAAUUAUUUUUAAAAUCACAAUUAAUAAUUAUGGUUUUAAAAAUAUUUUGAAAACCACAGUCACUGAUUGUGGUUUUAUAAUUUUCUUUAGAAUCAUAGUUACUAACUAUAGUUUCACAAAUAUCUUUAAAGUACACUCCGUUACAAUUUUCAAUAAUUAGUAUUAUAAUUUUAAAAUCUUUUUUAGAACCAUAAUUAGUAAUUGUGGUUUCAAAAAUAUCCUUUAAAUUGCAUUUGUUACAAUUUUUCAUAGUUGCAUUGUUAGUUUAAAAAUAUUUUUGAAACCACAGUUAUUAACUAUGGUUUUAUGGUUGUUAUGAUAAAAAAGAUUUUAAAAAUAAUUUUAAACUCACAAUACUAACUAUUAAAAGUUGAAACGAGUUAUGGUUUAAAAAUAUUUUUGAAACUAUAGUUAGUAAUUAUGGUUUUAAAGAAAAUUGUAGAACUUUAUGAUUAUGAUUUUAAGGAUAUUUAUGAAACUUUUAAAACCACAAUCAUCAAUUAUGGUAUUUUAUACUAAAAAAAAUAAAAGGAAAAAAUCCAAGUGGAUGAAUACGUGGUAAAAAAAAAAAGACUACUUUGAUAAAUAUUUUGGGUGGGACACUAUUCUCACUAUUUUUUUUUCAAAAGUAUUAUUUUGGACUUAAAACUCCAUAUUACCGUAAAAGGACAUAAAUCAAGAGACUAUUGAGAAUUAGAUUUGUGGACGUUUUAUACAUAUAAUACAAAACAUACUUGAGGGGAACUUUGGAAGAGGAGGCUGCAGGCUUUGCAUGUAGGCCAUGACUUAGUGUUGAUGUGCCCUGCUCCAAAGCUGAGCAGUCCCUGCCACUACAGUGUCCAUAUCAGUGAUUGGUACCAUACUAUCAUGGAGGUGGUAUGGUGUGGCCAUCAUUUGCCAACAAAUGGAGCCUCACUCCAAUCAGGGUAAGCAGCUACCCCAACUGCAAGACUCUGAGUGCCAACUGCCAACUCAUUGAACAUGUAGUUACCUCCUAUCCAUGUUAUUCUGUUGGGUGCCCCGGUAGCCAAAAAAACCACUCCAGAAGCCAAUGCACCAGGUUUCAAUAUCAUUAGAGUGCUACGUCCGGGUCCUCAUGACGGGAACCAGGCGCCAUCACAGGGGCUGGUUACGUAGGGCUUAGUAUCAAAUAGAAUUUUCUGAUUUGAUUAUGUAGUUCUUCAACAAUUUGGGGCUUACAUAGACAAAUGGUAUGUUGAAUGCACAGGGCAGUAGGCUCCUGCAGCUCCUACUCUACCCACUUCACCCUGCCGUUCAUUUCCUCCUGAUCCAGGAAAAUCGCAUAACACAAUCUUGACUUCAACAUCGGUGGGAUCCAUGGCACAUUGUUAAGAGGUUCUUCUAUUCCCAUGGCCAAAGUAGAGAGGGACUUUGGAGAUCGACAGGUUUCCUGAAUUAACAGAUUUUUCUCCGAUGGUUAAGAUGCCAUUACCCUAGCCUUGUCUAUGAUAUAGAAGCCGAGCAUACAUCUAUUUUUUGCUUGGGAUUGAUGAACUAUACAACAAAACGGUUCAGGCUUUAUAAGGACGUCAGGUUUCCCCUGCAAACCACCCAGUCUGGACCUUAACUAUCCUCCAUUGACAUUAAUCUUGAAGAAGACUAAAAAAGGUAGCCACAUCUUCAAGAGGGUGUUGACUCAUCAUCCACCCAAGAGCAAUGCCCUUUGCGGAAAAAAAAUUGUCAUGGAGGUUGUAUAUCAAUUCUUGCAGUCAGUAAAUUCCCACUAUAGGUAUUUCUAUAUGAUGUUAAAGAGGAGAAAAGAAAAGAGAAACUGUUUUGCAGUAAAUAAAAAUCCCUGAACAAUUUAUGAACGACAAAUACAUACUGGAAAUCAGUGCUUCCCAAUCACGUCCAGGGGUUGCUCCAGCUAGGGUACAAGGCAAAGGAUACAGCUCACACGGUCAUGAAAUAGACCAAAUGACUUAUAACUAACUUAGACCAAAUAGCAUACUAACCAAUGCUGAUUAGUUGCUUCUUGUUUUAUGUUCGACUUAUUUAA